This 482-nucleotide ribosomal RNA is filed under the name uncultured bacterium. RNAcentral describes it as "partial 16S ribosomal RNA". It matches the Rfam family "Bacterial small subunit ribosomal RNA", at positions 28 to 507 of the family's 1533-position model. The record is from RNAcentral.
GACGAACGCUGGCGGCGUGCCUAACACAUGCAAGUCGAACGGAACUGUUUUGAAAGAUUUCUUCGGAAUGAAUUUGAUUUAGUUUAGUGGCGGACGGGUGAGUAACGCGUGAGUAACCUGCCUUCAAGAGGGGAAUAACAUUCUGAAAAGAAUGCUAAUACCGCAUGACAUAUCGGAACCACAUGGUUUUGAUAUCAAAGAUUUUAUCGCUUGAAGAUGGACUCGCGUCCGAUUAGUUAGUUGGUGAGGUAACGGCUCACCAAGACCGCGAUCGGCAGCCGGACUGAGAGGUUGAACGGCCACAUUGGGACUGAGACACGGCCCAGACUCCUACGGGAGGCAGCAGUGGGGGAUAUUGCGCAAUGGGGGCAACCCUGACGCAGCAACGCCGCGUGAAGGAUGAAGGUUUUCGGAUUGUAACCUUCUUUUAUUAAGGACGAAAAAUGACGGUACUUAAUGAAUAAGCUCCGGCUAACUACGUG